Molecule: ribosomal RNA, 494 nt
Filed under: uncultured bacterium
Lineage: Bacteria
Description: partial 16S ribosomal RNA
Rfam family: Bacterial small subunit ribosomal RNA
Source: RNAcentral
GACGAACGCUGGCGGCGUGCUUAACACAUGCAAGUCGAACGGUGAAGCGCCUUCCUUUUUGGUGGGUGUGGAUGAGUGGCGAACGGGUGAGUAACACGUGAGUAACCUGCCCCCUUCUUCUGGAUAACCGCAUGAAAGUGUGGCUAAUACGGGAUAUUCUGGGUCUGUCGCAUGAUGGGUCUGGGAAAGAUAUUGUUUCGGUGGGGGAUGGGCUCGCGGCCUAUCAGCUUGUUGGUGGGGUGAUGGCCUACCAAGGCGGUGACGGGUAGCCGGCCUGAGAGGGUGGCCGGUCACACUGGGACUGAGACACGGCCCAGACUCCUACGGGAGGCAGCAGUGGGGAAUAGUGCACAAUGGGCGCAAGCCUGAUGCAGCGACGCCGCGGGAGGGAUGGAGGCCUUCGGGUUGUGAACCUCUUUCGCCAGUGAAGCAGGCCUGCCUCGUUUGUGGGUGGGUUGACGGUAGCUGGAUAAGAAGCGCCGGCUAACUACGUG